GAGGUUACUGCUAUCGAGGUUCGACUAAGCCAUGCGAGUCGAAUGUAGCAAUACAUGGCGUACUGCUCAGUAACACGUGGAUAACCUACCCUUGAGAUGGGAAUAAACCCGGGAAACUGGGUAUAAUACCCAAUAGAUCUCGACUGCUGGAAUGCAUCGAGCUCCAAAGCUCCGGCGCUCAAGGAUGGAUCUGCGGCCUAUCAGGUAGUAGUGGGUGUAGCGUACCUACUAGCCUACGACGGGUACGGGUUGUGAGAGCAAGAGCCCGGAGAUGGAUUCUGUGACACGAAUCCAGGCCCUACGGGGUGCAGCAGGCGCGAAAACUUUACAAUGCUGGAAACAGCGAUAAGGGGACCUCGAGUGCCAGGUUACAAAUCUGGCUGUCGUGAUGCCUAAAAAGCAUUGCAUAGCAAGGGCCGGGCAAGACCGGUGCCAGCCGCCGCGGUAACACCGGCGGCUCGAGUGGUAACCGUUAUUAUUGGGUCUAAAGGGUCUGUAGCCGGCCGGAUAAGUCUCUUGGGAAAUCUGGCAGCUUAACUGUCAGGCUUUCAGGAGAUACUGUCUGGCUCGAGGCCGGGAGAGGUGAGAGGUACUUCAGGGGUAGGGGUGAAAUCUUGUAAUCCUUGAAGGACCACCAGUGGCGAAGGCGUCUCACCAGAACGGACCUGACGGCAAGGGACGAAAGCUAGGGGCACGAACCGGAUUAGAUACCCGGGUAGUCCUAGCCGUAAACGAUACUCGCUAGGUGUCGGCAACGGUGCGACCGUUGUCGGUGCCGUAGGGAAGCCGUGAAGCGAGCCACCUGGGAAGUACGGCCGCAAGGCUGAAACUUAAAGGAAUUGGCGGGGGAGCACCACAACGGGUGGAGCUUGCGGUUUAAUUGGAGUCAACGCCGGAA
This 898-nucleotide ribosomal RNA is filed under the name uncultured archaeon. RNAcentral's name for it is "bacterial SSU rRNA". It matches the Rfam family "Archaeal small subunit ribosomal RNA", at positions 20 to 923 of the family's 1478-position model. The record is from RNAcentral.